RNAcentral lists this transfer RNA (72 nucleotides) under Phrynosoma platyrhinos (Desert horned lizard). Its description in RNAcentral is "tRNA-OTHER". It matches the Rfam family "tRNA". Rfam says of the family: Transfer RNA (tRNA) molecules are approximately 80 nucleotides in length. Their secondary structure includes four short double-helical elements and three loops (D, anti-codon, and T loops). Further hydrogen bonds mediate the characteristic L-shaped molecular structure. tRNAs have two regions of fundamental functional importance: the anti-codon, which is responsible for specific mRNA codon recognition, and the 3' end, to which the tRNAs corresponding amino acid is attached (by aminoacyl-tRNA synthetases). tRNAs cope with the degeneracy of the genetic code in two manners: having more than one tRNA (with a specific anti-codon) for a particular amino acid; and 'wobble' base-pairing, i.e. permitting non-standard base-pairing at the 3rd anti-codon position. Lineage: Eukaryota; Metazoa; Chordata; Lepidosauria; Squamata; Phrynosomatidae. The record is from RNAcentral.
GCCAGAAUGGCAUAGUGGUUUGAGUAUUGGACUAAGAAUCUGGAGACCAGGGUUUGAAUCCCUGCUCAGACA